CGGCAGCCGCGCGAGGAGCCCUGUGAGGCCAGCAGAGGAGGAAGGCGGACAAUAAAACCUGGCUUCGCCCAGUUCCCUUCCCUCUAAAGUUUCUUUCGUUCUGAAGCGAAUCGGUUCCGCGAGGGAGCGGCGCCGUCGCACCACAGGCUGCCUGCCGCUCGUCCUUCUCGGCGUGGCAGGGGGAACGGGGAGGGUUGCCGGCACAUCCAGAGUUGAUUUAUUCUAAAUACUUGAACCGUGUCUAAGGGGGAAACAGGGGAGUGUGGAUGCUUGGGAUCCAGUUUCUCUCGCUAUGACCAGAAGGUAUCACUGAGGGAUACCAGCGCGACGGAUGCACAUAGGAGAGAACCUGACGUACGUUUAGGUGUAGAGGCUUAAUGAAAUGUGGAAGAGCAGGUGCACAGUCCUAAUGUGCUGGUGCUUUUUUAUUUCCUCUGAUGUGUCUGUUUGCUGUGUGAGCAAAUCUUCUUGUACGUUUGAAACCUAUAGGACUGUAAAAUUGCUAAAAAGGAAGGAAAGCCAAUAUUUUACAAUAUCUUUUGUCUUAGGUACUGUGUUGUCUGCAAAUGGCAAUUCUUGUGUCUACUCUAAAGGUAAAAUUAAGGUGAAGAGAGAUUAAUAGUAGAGCGGUCCUUGCUCUGGACACGGCACUUGUGACAUGGUGGUCUUAAUUUGGAAGGAAAAAUGGAGUGCUCUCGGUCCAGUGUGAAUGCGUUGGGACCUGGGAUGGCAAGAGGGGUGCCUGCACUAGCCCUUUGCUUGGGAGCAGGAGCGUGCUGCGAGUCCCCCCGCAUCCCGCCGCUGCUGUGCUUUGGUUUGUCUCGUGGGUUGGUCCUGUGGGACACGCGCUGAAUUCCUUUUGGAUAGAACAGAGCCAGGAGAUGUUCUGCAGGAGCUCCUCUUCUGUAUUCAAACUACAAAUUGACAUUCAGCUCACGGGACGAGACCAGAGCCUGGGUGAACAGACCUCGCCCCCAGGUGUGCAGUGUCGGUGUCGGACCCCCAGCAGCAGCUGUUCUGCUCUUCCCGUGCCGCGGUUCUGUGCUGCUCUCUGGCGUAGCUCCGCUUGUGGAGCCCGCCUGAAGGCCCACCACUGGUCGGGAAGCCGGGCGGGGGCUCAGGGCUAGCACAGUCACCUGGCACGCGUCCUUCGAUGGCAAUCAUCAGGCCAUUAUUCUUUCCCUCAAAAAGGGGUAGUUUGGGUUGGCAUGAAGAGAAAAGGUUCAUUUGAUCGCUUGUAAUAUAACACACGAGCGGGUAAGAGGCACUGGUACUCUGGCUCUCAAAAGCCCUCCACAUUUUUAACCCGUUUUAUUAUUUGCAAGAGCAAUUUAGUUCCUAAUGUUAACAAUGAGUGAUUAUGAUUCUGUACUUCCGUUUACAGCAUAAAUUAGCAUUUUGUUUUCCAUUACAGCUUUUGAAUGAGGAAUUAUAAUGUAUAAUUUGCUGCAAAUAGAUGUUAUCAUCUCUUUGGUUGUGAACAACCACAUAAACUUGAGCAAAUGAUAAAAAUGGAAUCAAUUACUUCUCAAAUGGAAAUAGUUUACAAACCUUCACAUACAAAAUGACAAUGGAAGCUGGUUAUUGUAACAAAUAAUUACUUUUUUUUUAAAACAACAUUUAUUGAAUUCCAUUGACAAUUUAGUAAUUGUUUAUAGAGGAUUUUACUGUCCCCCCUCAAAAUACAUGCCACAUAAUAUCUGCGUUUUUUAAACUACAGAUUGCCUACAUAGCCCGUGUGUCAAGCUUUGACCACGUGUAUUCACCUGUACACACGUUCCAGAAGGGGAGCGCUGAGCCACGAAUUACACUGAUGUUGAUGAUGGUUAGAGAGCCUCACAGUAUCCUGGGAUUAUUAGGUCAAGAUUGAAAUUACAGAAGAGAGAAGGGAAGAGUAUGUGUGGUAGGCUGUCUCCAAAGCCUGCUGAAGGUGCUGUGAGUUUUUCUGCCACUUCAGAACUGACGAUAUAGGUCCUGGUUGUUGGGAGGAUAGAGAGGGGAGGAGACAGUACUGUAAUUGCUUGAAUGAGUGGAUGCAGUGAAUGUCUGCUGGAGGGGAAGGUGAUUAUACCUCACGAUAAUGAGUUUACCAGUAUGAAUUUCAUGAAACAAAGUUUUCCGUCAGUUGCUAUGACAUGCUUUUGUUUUAUACAGAGUUAUUUGUGCUUGGAAAAGUAUCACUUCACAGCCAGAAUGAAUGUGAGAAGCAAUCCAGGAUCCCACCCAUUCUUUCUUUGCUCCUUGUAGACCUGCUUCAUCUUGCCUAAGGACAUAAUCCACGCAGCAUUUUCAACCCACUCCUUCAAGGAGGCUGCCUAAACAGCACCGGUUUUCUGCAUACUGUUUUGCGUUUAUGUUGUAUUCUGGUCCUCUGAAGCUCUGACCACUUAAAGCUGUCACCCACAUGACCUCAGUACCCGAAUUCACCGGCCUUUUUCUCGUAGUCUUCGCUGCUAUCCCACUGCACCCAUCCAUGGUGGAUGCGAUAUAAGCCCUGGUUGAACAUACUGAACUGAUCUCCUCACUCCGCUCUCCAUCUUACAUCUACUUAAAAAUACAAUUCACAAUCCAUACUUUGCAUCAUUUAGGGCUUUAGAAUUUAGACUUCUUGUUGAUCCUUUUAAAGCCGUCGCAUAAUUUAGCUUUUCCCUGUUUACUAUGUUACAGCCACUCUUUCUGUUUACAAACGGUGCUAGAUUUGCUGCUUGUCUGGGUUGCUUCUCCUCAGCAACAUUUUUUUUGCUAUCCCCACACUUCACCCUUUGACGUAGAGAAGUCGUGAGCUAGCAGAGGAAGAUUACAUAAGCUUUCUUCUGCCCGGUCUCUUGAAAGCCAUUGUUACCUAAUUAUUAAAAAUGGAUAAACUUAAUUUGGGCUUGGAAAGCUAUGGAACAAGCUGAGCAAAAAACAGUAAUCACCCUGACUGCUUCAUUUCCUUGCGGUUGUCUGGCGCUCAUUUCUUUAGGUUGGUGUCUGCUGACAUGCUUCAGUUUGUCUGUAGAUCAGCCUCUUUUAAUAAUUAAAAAAAGACUCUAAAACAUUACAGGUGAAGUAAUUCUGGGGGAAAAAAUAGUGAUAAAAUGGGACUAGUAUAACAUGCAAUUCAGGAUGCUGUAUUCAGCGUCCUUCUCUUGAGACCAUGGAGCUGAUGGCUAAGGAUGGAGAUUUCUCAUAUUGUUAUUUUUGAGGUAGCUAUUGGGUGUGAAAAUUUACUUUCUUGUUUUCACUAAGUCUUUUUUAUUUUUUUCAACUUUCUGAACACACUGUCUGGGGUUGGGGAAGGAGGUGAGUGUUAUGAAGCUGUGUAUUUGCAGUGAGGCUUUUUGAAGCUUAGAAAUAGACAUUUGUUGUAGCAAUCAUUUCUAAAACCAAGUACCAGUGGCCCUUCAGGAAUGUGUGCAUGGCUCCAUAAAAUGUAUCCAGUCAUCCUGGGGUUCCUGGACUGAGCAGUUUACAGUCUCAGAGGUGUACUUGGACUGUAAAAUCGCACUCCAACAAAAUAACUCACUUCGACCACUUGUUUUCUUCUUUCUUUUUUACUUUUAUUUUUUCUUUUCCUUAACAGUCAAAUUGUACAACGUGACUUGGUGUAUCUGCUGAACUUUGACUUUUUAUUCAUGAAGCUUCUCAUUAUAUCUGUCUGCUACCUCUUAUAUGCUCAUAGUUUGCUUAGGCCUUGAUCCAGCAGACCACUUAAUUGCUCAACUGUAAAUGCUUGAAGUCAAGAGAACUGCUUAAAAUGUGUGUGGUGUGUUGGACUGGGGCCUUAGACAGCUCUAUCUUAAGGUCAGAGAACUUUGCUUCCUUGUUUGUUAAGCACUUACCAUACUUGCAGUACAUUAGAAGUAUCGAUGGUAAUUAUGGCAGUGGGAGCAAGAAAGCAAUGAGGAGAUCAAGGAAACGUAGCAAUGUUUACAGUCUUGUUUAUUGCCAGUUCAGUCUCUUUCUUUGUUAAAUGGAUUUGCAAAUAAAAGAUUAUUCCUUUUCCUUUCCCAAGAAAAAAGUCUUGUGAUGGAAGGAAUAGGUAGUGCAUUAAAACGCAACAUUUCGUGCACUGACAGAAAGCCAUGCAUGAAAGGUACUUGAGGACAGGAAACUCCUUCUGGACCUUAAGCAAGGUUUGAAAA
Long non-coding RNA from Cygnus olor (mute swan), 4127 nucleotides. RefSeq lists it as uncharacterized. The record is from RefSeq and is a predicted model, not a curated record. The transcript is spliced from 2 exons. NCBI's taxonomy places the organism in Eukaryota, Metazoa, Chordata, Aves, Anseriformes, Anatidae.